This 671-nucleotide ribosomal RNA is filed under the name Bactrurus brachycaudus. RNAcentral's name for it is "12S ribosomal RNA". Lineage: Eukaryota; Metazoa; Arthropoda; Malacostraca; Amphipoda; Crangonyctidae. The record is from RNAcentral.
AAAAAAAAAAAAUAAAAUCUUAGUUUUUUAAACUGUGUAAAGAAUGGUUUAUAUGUAAAAUUUAAGCACUAAGAGUAAAUUAUAGAUUAUAUUUAUUAAAUAGUAUUUAGUAUUAUUUACUUAUGAAUGUAAGAUUAGUAGUUCUGUGUGAGCAGUAGAAUUUGUGCCAGCAGCUGCGGUUAGACUUAUGCUUAAAUGUUGGGGGCAUGUGGAAUUAUAGGCGGGAUAAACUUAGGUGAAAUUGUGUUUAAUGUUUAAUUGUUAAAUUGGUAUUGUGAUAGAAAAAACAAGGAUUAGAUACCCUUUUAUUAUCGUUGAGGUAGAGCUUAUGGUUAGAACUAAAAGAUUUGGCGGCUUAUUUAUAUUAGGGGAAUUUGAACUAUAAAUGAAAUUACUCGUUAUUUUUUACUUUUAUUUGUUUUGUAUACCGCUAUUUAAAUAAUCUAGAAAUAGAAAUUUUUUUUCUCAAGAUUUUAAGUCAAGGUGCAGAUAUAUAAAAGCUCGUUUUAAUUACAUUAGGAAUGUAAUCGGAUGGCAUUUCAAAAAAUACUUGAAGGUGGAUUUAAUUGUAAUGCAGUUGUUAUGAAUGUUAUUAAUGAGUGUACAAAUUGCCCGUCAAUCCCUCUGGGAUAAGUCGAAACAAAGUAGAUACACCUGAAGGUGUAUCUAAA